GACGAACGCUGGCGGCGUGCUUAACACAUGCAAGUCGAACGGAAAGGCCCUGCUUUUGUGGGGUGCUCGAGUGGCAAACGGGUGAGUAACACGUGAGUAACCUGCCCUUGACUUUGGGAUAACUUCAGGAAACUGGGGCUAAUACCGGAUAGGAGCUCCUGCUGCAUGGUGGGGGUUGGAAAGUUUCGGCGGUUGGGGAUGGACUCGCGGCUUAUCAGCUUGUUGGUGGGGUAGUGGCUUACCAAGGCUUUGACGGGUAGCCGGCCUGAGAGGGUGACCGGCCACAUUGGGACUGAGAUACGGCCCAGACUCCUACGGGAGGCAGCAGUGGGGAAUAUUGCACAAUGGGCGGAAGCCUGAUGCAGCAACGCCGCGUGCGGGAUGACGGCCUUCGGGUUGUAAACCGCUUUCGCCUGUGACGAAGCGUGAGUGACGGUAAUGGGUAAAGAAGCACCGGCUAACUACGUGCCAGCAGCCGCGGUGAUACGUAGGGUGCGAGCGUUGUCCGGAUUUAUUGGGCGUAAAGGGCUCGUAGGUGGUUGAUCGCGUCGGAAGUGUAAUCUUGGGGCUUAACCCUGAGCGUGCUUUCGAUACGGGUUGACUUGAGGAAGGUAGGGGAGAAUGGAAUUCCUGGUGGAGCGGUGGAAUGCGCAGAUAUCAGGAGGAACACCAGUGGCGAAGGCGGUUCUCUGGGCCUUUCCUGACGCUGAGGAGCGAAAGCGUGGGGAGCGAACAGGCUUAGAUACCCUGGUAGUCCACGCUGUAAACGGUGGGUACUAGGUGUGGGGUCCAUUCCACGGGUUCCGUGCCGUAGCUAACGCUUUAAGUACCCCGCCUGGGGAGUACGGCCGCAAGGCUAAAACUCAAAGGAAUUGACGGGGCCCCGCACAAGCGGCGGAGCAUGCGGAUUAAUUCGAUGCAACGCGUAGAACCUUACCUGGGUUUGACAUGGAUCGGGAGCGCUCAGAGAUGGGUGUGCCUCUUUUGGGGUCGGUUCACAGGUGGUGCAUGGCUGUCGUCAGCUCGUGUCGUGAGAUGUUGGGUUAAGUCCCGCAACGAGCGCAACCCUUGUUCACUGUUGCCACCACGUUAUGGUGGGGACUCAGUGGAGACCGCCGGGGUCAACUCGGAGGAAGGUGGGGAUGACGUCAAGUCAUCAUGCCCCUUAUGUCCAGGGCUUCACGCAUGCUACAAUGGCUGGUACAGAGAGUGGCGAGCCUGUGAGGGUGAGCGAAUCUCGGAAAGCCGGUCUCAGUUCGGAUUGGGGUCUGCAACUCGACCUCAUGAAGUCGGAGUCGCUAGUAAUCGCAGAUCAGCAACGCUGCGGUGAAUACGUUCCCGGGGCU
This 1346-nucleotide ribosomal RNA is filed under the name uncultured bacterium. Its description in RNAcentral is "bacterial SSU rRNA". It matches the Rfam family "Bacterial small subunit ribosomal RNA", at positions 28 to 1381 of the family's 1533-position model. The record is from RNAcentral.